Non-coding RNA from Ciona savignyi (Pacific transparent sea squirt), 72 nucleotides. The record is from Rfam. NCBI's taxonomy places the organism in Eukaryota, Metazoa, Chordata, Ascidiacea, Phlebobranchia, Cionidae.
UCCCAGGUGGUCUAGUGGUUAGGAUUCCUGGCUCUCACCCACGCGGCCCGGGAUCGAUUCCCGGUCUGGGAA